Cercocebus atys (sooty mangabey) is the source of this 1978-nucleotide long non-coding RNA. RefSeq lists it as uncharacterized. The transcript is spliced from 4 exons. The record is from RefSeq and is a predicted model, not a curated record. Lineage: Eukaryota; Metazoa; Chordata; Mammalia; Primates; Cercopithecidae.
AGCGAUUCUCUUGCUGCAGCCUCCUGAGUAGUGGGGAUUACAGGGGCCAUGCUGAUCUUCUCUGUAUCGUUCCAAUUUUAGUUCAUGUGCUGCGGAAGUGAGCAAAACAACUUUUUACUUUUAGGGGAGAGGAUUUGUCCACCUUUUUCGGCUGCUCUAACUUGAAGUAUCAUCUCUGCUUUUCUGCUAUUUUUGUACACUUGGAAACAAUGUGGGACCCUCAUUUAAAAGUGCAAGCAACCUUAUAAAAGAGACCCCAGAAAGAUUCCUCACCCCCUUUAUCAUGUGAAGACCCAGAAAAAGACAGCCAUCUAUGAUCCAGGAAGCAGACCCUCACCAGACUCCAAAUCUACCAGUGCCUUGACUUUGUACUUCCAGCCUCUAGGACCAUGAGUAACUAAUCUCUGCCUAUGGCAUUUUGUUAUAGCAGCUUGAACAGACUAAAACAAUCACUUACGUAUAAGGAAAAUUAACUUUUGGCAAGUUAUUUUUAUGGCAGUUAACCCUCACUCAAGGAUAUUCAGCAAGUAAUUGUAGAAGGAGACAGGAACCCACCUCUGUCUGCAACAGUUCUGAAAAAAAUCACUUAAACACCACAGUUCAACAGGAGGAUGCAUCCUGAAAGAGAAAUGGGCUUCAUUUUAGGUAGAUGAUGACUUUUCAUACUGAAGAUGCUCCUUCCUUUCCAGAGGACCAAGAACUUCGCUUCAUUCUUGGCAGCGUGCAUUGCUCAUGGCAGCAUGAAAAAAACAGAGUCCUGAGUAUGAAGUAGAAAAAAUAGUGGACUAGAAGUAAUGGCUCACUUGGUAAGCUGUGGGGCUUUUGGCAAAUUCUUUAACCUCUCUGGGGCUCUGUUACAACAUCUGUAAGGUAAGGUGUUUGGACUAGGUGAUCUUUUUUAUUCAGCAACGUAAACUGUGCUGCGUGCCAGGCAGUAGGAUCUUGAGUUGAGUCACACAUAGUCCCGGUUCACAUUCUGGCUGAUAAGAGCUGGAAGAGGAGCUAAUUAAAAAUACCAGCAGACACACAGGAGGGGAUAAUUCAUUCUGUUUGCUAGGGCUUGGGAGCUGAUAUUUCAAAAGUAGAAAUUCCCCAGAAAUUUAUUAAUUUUGUCAUCAUUCAUUCAUUUAUUCAACAAAUGUUGACACUAUGGCAACUGUAUACCAGGGUGCCUACUUUCUAUGAAGAAUGGGGAAAUAGUCAUGAAGAAAGCAGACAAAAUUUCUUUCAGUUUAGUCUAAGCUGAAGGUGCUAGGGGAGGUUGGGAAAAGGUACUAUUAGUAUUUAGCAUUGAAUAUUUAAUAUUGUUUCAUUUCACUCUCCCAGUAUAUCCACAAAGAAGGCAGUACCCUCACUUUACAGCGAGAAACCUGAGGCCUAGAGGAGUGAAAUCAUUCACUGAGCUCAUACUAAUAAGUCAUGAGGACUCAAGCCCACCGCUGCCUGUGUUCAGAGCUCCAGCAUUUACCCGUAUUGCAAUUUUAUGGCAGAAGUGGCUUCCUCGGCCGCUGGGUGAGUGAACACUUGGUUCGCCUUCCCAACACUUCCUCUUUGAGUAACAGUGCACCUGUUUUCCUCUGGAGAGCUAAGUCCUUCCACUCUCAAUUCAGUCCUAUAAGGAGGAGCUCUGGUCCCUCCUACAAGUGUCAGAGGCGAGGUCAUGCUGUGGGCUUAAUGUAUCAGACCACGUCCUUCUAGGCACAGUGAUUGGCCCAACCAGUGAUGGGCACAUGACCAGGCUACACCAAUUGGCAUCAAUGCCUGGACUUUUGCUGGAAAUAUUGAAAAAGAGUCUUGUUUUUUUUCCCCUGGGAUUUAAACUGUAGACUGUAAGCCUAGAGUAGGUGAUGUUCUCCAGAAGGGGUGAGGGAGCCUGCCUGAAAAAUGAAGCUUAUAGAGAAGCACAUUAGUUCAUUCUCACAUUGCUAUAAAUAAAUACCUAAACCUGGAUAAUUUAUAAGAAAAGAGGUUUAAUUGG